Long non-coding RNA from Hibiscus syriacus, 1831 nucleotides. RefSeq lists it as uncharacterized. Lineage: Eukaryota; Viridiplantae; Streptophyta; Magnoliopsida; Malvales; Malvaceae. The record is from RefSeq and is a predicted model, not a curated record. The transcript has 5 exons.
UUGUAUUUCCUUCUAUAUGAUAUUUAUUGAAAAGAGUGAGGAGAAAAUAAAUAAAAGCAUAUCGAGAGCAAAACCGUCGUUCAACAACUAUCCAACUAAGAAAAUAAGGACUUUUUCUACACAGAACAUGAAUCAGAAUGCCAAAUCCUCCGGUGAAAGCAAAUAGACAAUGAUCGAGCACGCCACACGAAGAAAAGGUGAAGAGAAACUAUUUUUUUUCAACUUUCCUAACUUUAGAAUCAAUCUUAAAAGUCUUUCUCAAGAUAGAUCUAACUAUUACUAUUUUUUUUUAUCUUCUGCCGCUAAUAACAUUACUGGCAUCGGAGUUUCUUCUACCCAAGACUCAUCGGUCGACAACCAGAUUUAUUCUUUUGUUAUCGUAUGUGCUACUUGAUUCCUCUAUCGUGGAACGAAGUCGAACCAACAAUCUUGAAAGUCACUCAACAUCAUUCUUUCAUCUCAGGCAAAGAAUUCUGGUUGGAUUAAGGAGUUCUCCAACUUGGUUACAGUGCAGGGGGCAGGAUGGUUCGCUCUGUCGUUCCGAAUAUACGGCUUGGCGUGGAGUCGACAAUGACUCCUUCAACUAUUGUUCCAAACUUGCAAACUCAAAGGCCCCUUGAAGCUGAAGACAUAUGUCCUUUAAAUGGACAAGAUCAGUCUUUUCGUCUCGUAAAUGAACGAGAAGCGACAAGUGGUCUUACUAGGCUCUCGUUAACCGGACAAAGUCAAUCUAUCUGUCCCAUAAAUGAACAAGAUGGGACUCAUGGCCAUCCUCCUCAGCUCCCUUUAGAAGAAUCACAGGCAAAUUCGAUAGAUCAGAUACAGCAGAUUAUCCAGAAGAAGGUUUUACUUGCUUACAUAAAGCAUAAGAAUUUAGUGAUGACUCCCCGGUAUGAUGCUUUGUUUUCUUUAUGAACUGUCUGCAUUUAAAAGUCUGUUCUCGGUGUAUCUGCAAAUGCCCGCAGAUUUUGCGACUCGUAUCACAUUACGAUGGCUGUCGAGAUGCUACAUGUAGAAUUUGCAGUCCUCGUAGGCAUAGUCCUUUAACUGAUAGAUUUAGUCCUGACUUUCAACAUGUAAAAAGAGGUCUUGGAACAGUUUCGGGUAAAGGAGAUUCCGGUCAGCCCGGAUGUGGUACUUCAGAAGCCAUGCAACCAUUGCCAAAGCGUUUGAAUCCGAAAAAUGGUAUGUUUUAUGCAAUGGCUCCAUUGAAGGCUCAACCAAGUUUUGCCGAGAUUCGACCCUUGGGGAAGUCGCCAAAGUGUUUAGAACUUGCAGCUGGUUGUGAUGCAGAGCUACAAACAAAGACUGAGCUUAUUGUGCAAGAAUCAAAUUGCAGAAAGGAAAUAACAUUCGAUAGUCGAAAACGAAGAGGUGUGUCCUUGGUAGAAAUUUCACAGGAGAGCAGAUAAUGGAGCAUAUAUCAAGUCUCAGGGAGGGCAUUGACUAGGAUCUAGCGAUGUCGCUAAUCAUGAUUGACAGACUCAGUAGUAGGCUUCCCUAUCAGACUACUCAAACCGAUACAGUGAGUUCAGUGUGAUAAAUGUAAAUGUUGGCAAUGUUAGUGUUAAUGAAUGCAAUUGUGUGCUGUGCAUGGGACAUGUUGAGCACACGUACAGUUGAGAGAUGAUGUGCAUGAUGGAUGCGCAUACAACUGAGAGUUGAUACGUUGCAGCUCAGUUGGUGGUUGCUUUUUGAGGAUUCUUGAAGGUUUUUUCUGAAAGUUCUUUGGAAAAUGGUGGACCUACAUCAAGCUGGUGUUCAGUCUCCGCUGAAUACCUAAACAGGAUGUUAUAAAGCUUACUGAGUUAACCUACCUUCUUUGAAAGCA